RNAcentral lists this unclassified non-coding RNA (624 nucleotides) under Haliotis rubra (blacklip abalone). RNAcentral describes it as "uncharacterized LOC124283967, transcript variant X2". Lineage: Eukaryota; Metazoa; Mollusca; Gastropoda; Lepetellida; Haliotidae. The record is from RNAcentral.
CUGUUGUUCGCUGGCGAUGACGAUUUAUAUGAUAUGAUCCCGGAAUUGUUUUGUCGAUUUCAUGGAGCCCAGGUCUCGUUCCCCGAAAAUCUAGUCAGAAAUAGGAAGAGUUGCACGCCUCAAAGCUUCACAUCGGUGCACUUUUGUCUGCAUAUCUUUUCAGCCCGAACGCUUUUCAUUCAGUUGGUUGAGUGACGGCAACCGUUCACUUAAAGAGCUGGACGUAACAUCGCAGUUGCUAACGUACCUGAGCGAUACUUCGGUUUGGUGUACAUCGCACGCAACUCUUAUUCCAGUUUUCGUUGACUAUGGAUGACCGUGACCAAGAUUGUGUAGACACCGUGACUCAGCCGGGUACAUCUUCUGACACUAAGGGCCGUCGAAUUCAAAUUUCCCUAAGCCGCCAUUUUGUUUUGAGAACGAAGCGACCUCAUCCAGCGAUUGGUGCGAUUGCAAGCGGCUGAAAAUUAACACUCCGUUGUCAGGGUUGCAAGCGAUUUGUUGUUUUUUGGCAACGCACCCAUUAUGUCAUAUAAUCAACACGCUACUUAACAUGGCUAUUUUCAUGGUCUGUGAUAUUAUUGCGUUACAAUGACGAUCUGUACAGUCAUUUGAAGUUUCUUG